RNAcentral lists this long non-coding RNA (219 nucleotides) under Vicia faba (fava bean). Lineage: Eukaryota; Viridiplantae; Streptophyta; Magnoliopsida; Fabales; Fabaceae. The record is from RNAcentral.
AUGUUUGUUGUUUGGCCUUGGCAGUUGGAUGUAGUGAUAAUGCAAAGGGAAGACGGGACACCAAAGUCGUUGGAACAUCAAUCACGGUGGUACAAAACAUGUCAACAACGAAAGCACGUAUUGCUGCGUGAUGAUUUGGCAAUGGCUAAGCUCAAAGAAUGGAAUGUUAAUGCUGCUUUAAAGUUAUUUCAGUAUAGUUUACUAGCUAGACAAGACUGA